This is a long non-coding RNA of Rosa rugosa (rugosa rose), 458 nucleotides long. RefSeq lists it as uncharacterized. The transcript has 2 exons. Lineage: Eukaryota; Viridiplantae; Streptophyta; Magnoliopsida; Rosales; Rosaceae. The record is from RefSeq and is a predicted model, not a curated record.
AAAUGCUGGAGCUGCUGAAUCGUAUACAAGCAGCAGGAAACAAGUCAAGAGCUGGCAAUCAACUGCUAGAGAUGCUGAAUACCAACAAACCAUCCACGACCAACUUUGUGGGUAACAUACCAAACCUUGAAGAAAUUCCAGGACCUGCGUUCGGGGAGGAUGAUUGGGACGGGAGCUGAGAGUGAGGGACUAUACUGUCUCAACAUGCCUAAGGAAGGAACGUGCAAUGCGGUGAGAAGCAAAACCGACGACCUAUGGCAUUGGAGGCUAGGGCAUCCGUCAAGCAAAGUAUCUUCAUUUUUCCCUUUCUUGCAAAAUAAGUCAUGUGACACCAGCCAUUGUUCUAUCUGUCCUUUGGCCAAGCAGACUCGAAAGCCAUUUCCUUUAAGUACUUCUUUGAGUAAUUGUUGUUUUGAAUUAAUUCAUGUUGACAUAUGGGGAGGAUACCAUGUUCCAUC